UGCACAGUUGUGAGGACUGAGAACCCCACCAGGGCCUGCUCAAAGGGGGCUUGCUGCUCUUCCUGCUUCCUCGUCCUUCCUAACAUUCCCGCUGUGGAGAUCUCUUUUGGGGUGUUAGGAGAUGUCUCCGUUGAAUUUCCUAUUACGUGAAAGUGUGUCCACCUGGUGAUGUGACCACGGGUCCCUGUUCACCUGGGACAGUCCUGGCUCAUGCCCCUGGUCCCUGUGCUCCAUGCACUCUUGAAUGUUCUCUGUGGGAAGGUAGGUUAUGUGGUGACCCACGUAUAGAGAACAGGUGCUAGCGAACCAGAGCUCAGACCAGCAGUAGAGUUGAUAGGGGAAAGGGAAGGGCACCACAAGAGUGGACAGGGUGCCCUGCUCAAGGUUGAGUGAGGUCAGACUGCACAGGCAUGGCCUCACCGUGGGAGGAAGACAAUCUCGGCGCUGGGGAUGGAGUCUGCCCACAUAAUGGCCACCCGCCGACGAUGCCUCAGGCUGGUCUCGACAGCCAGCUCUGGAGUGACAGAGUGAGGCUCACUCAGGGGCCACUCUGCACUGAAGUCCACACUGACCAGUUCCCUCAGACAGACCAUCCUCAGCUUCACACUCUUCACUGAUUCAGGUGAUCUUUGGGGGACGUGGAACCGGCAAGGGGGCCAAACACCUCUUCACCUCUGGAGGACCCUCCAUUUGGCAUGGCUCAUGGCCACUGCACUGGGGUUCUCCUAGGGAGAUGGUUCAUAUGCUGACAUCCAGGUCCCACCCCAGACUGAAGGGUCAGCCACCGCAUCCCUUAAAUGGCCCAAGGUAGACAGAUGUGCCCGUCAUCCUGUAGGAAUGAGGAGGUUAGGACUGGGAACUCAGGACUAGAACCCAGUUCUCCCCCACCCACAGACCCCCCAAAGACACUGGGUGGGAGACCACAGCAAGAUGAGGGUUUCCUCAGUGGCCUCCCUGGAAGGACAAGGAUAAUGGUAGGGAACUGUCUUUGUUAAAACGUAAAUGGUCAUGCUUGAACUUAACCAGGACAGCAUCUCACCCUGGAAGUUAACUCUCUAAGUGAAGCAGCUGCUGCUGAUGGAGUGGAGAGGAAGACAGACCCCGCUGGGUGGAGCUGGCACUGUGCUCUGGGCCGAGCCUGGACUUCCCGUCUGUGCUGUGAGGCUAAGUGAAGGUGGCCAUGCCCUGGAGAGGCGUCCUCUGCUUUGGGAAUCUUCUAGAAGCAGACCAGAGAUGUGUUGUCUCCGCUCUGCCCCAAGCCGGAUUGCUCCUGCCAUCAGUCAGGUGGCUUGGCGCUGAGGGAGUCCUCUGUCUACGGAAUGUGUUCUUGAGAAAAAUGUGAAGUCACUAAAUCCAGGCUAAUGGGCCAUUAAGCAACUGAAGGGAUAUAUAUGACACUUACCCUGUGCAAUUUCUCUGAAGAAUUGGGUCUUAACCACAGACAGAGAUGGUGCUUAAGGAGAAGUAAUAAAACCAAAUUGAUUCUUAAUUACUCUAG
Molecule: long non-coding RNA, 1498 nt
Filed under: Marmota monax (woodchuck)
Lineage: Eukaryota; Metazoa; Chordata; Mammalia; Rodentia; Sciuridae
Source: RNAcentral